GAGGAAGUAAAAGUCGUAACAAGGUCUCCGUUGGUGAACCAGCGGAGGGAUCAUUACCGAGUUUACAACUCCCAAACCCAAUGUGAACGUUACCAAACUGUUGCCUCGGCGGGAUCUCUGCCCCGGGUGCGUCGCAGCCCCGGACCAAGGCGCCCGCCGGAGGACCAACCAAAACUCUUUUUGUAUACCCCCUCGCGGGUUUUUUAUAAUCUGAGCCUUCUCGGCGCCUCUCGUAGGCGUUUCGAAAAUGAAUCAAAACUUUCAACAACGGAUCUCUUGGUUCUGGCAUCGAUGAAGAACGCAGCGAAAUGCGAUAAGUAAUGUGAAUUGCAGAAUUCAGUGAAUCAUCGAAUCUUUGAACGCACAUUGCGCCCGCCAGUAUUCUGGCGGGCAUGCCUGUCCGAGCGUCAUUUCAACCCUCGAACCCCUCCGGGGGGUCGGCGUUGGGGAUCGGCCCUGCCUUUGGCGGUGGCCGUCUCCGAAAUACAGUGGCGGUCUCGCCGCAGCCUCUCCUGCGCAGUAGUUUGCACACUCGCAUCGGGAGCGCGGCGCGUCCACAGCCGUUAAACACCCAACUUCUGAAAUGUUGACCUCGGAUCAGGUAGGAAUACCCGCUGAACUUAAGC
RNAcentral lists this ribosomal RNA (626 nucleotides) under Trichoderma harzianum. Its description in RNAcentral is "eukaryotic LSU rRNA". The stretch from base 257 to 410 matches the Rfam family "5.8S ribosomal RNA". Lineage: Eukaryota; Fungi; Ascomycota; Sordariomycetes; Hypocreales; Hypocreaceae. The record is from RNAcentral.